RNA transcript from Melospiza georgiana, 2318 nucleotides. It is a transcript of the gene named caspase 9, with no coding region annotated. The record is from RefSeq and is a predicted model, not a curated record. Lineage: Eukaryota; Metazoa; Chordata; Aves; Passeriformes; Passerellidae. The transcript has 12 exons.
GGCGGUGGGUCUGAGGCAGAGGGGCCGGUGCGGGGCAGAGCAGCAAGUCCGGGAAGGGACCGGCGGUGGGUCCGGGCAUUGAGCGGCGGCGUCAGGAAGGGACCGGCGGCGGCUCCGGGGCUGAGCGGCGCCUCCGGGCAUUGAGCGGCGGUGUGUUCAUGCAUUGAGCGGCGGUGUGUCCGGGCAUUGAGCGGCGGUGUGUCCGGGCAUUGAGCGGCGGUGUGUUCAUGCAUUGAGCGGCGGUGUGUCCGGGCAUUGAGCGGCGGUGUGUCCGGGCAUUGAGCGGCGGUCCCGGGCAGAGCACGGCUGUGGCAGCCCAGGCUCCGGGGCCAUGGAGGAGCAGCAGCGGCGGGCGCUGCGGCGCGGGCGGGCCCGGCUGGUGGCGGCGCUGCGGGUGGAGCCGCUCUGGGACCCGCUGGAGCAGCGCGGGCUCUUCACCCGGCCAAUGCUGGAGGAGCUGCAGAGCGCUGGCAGCCGAGCGGAGCAAGCCCGGCAGCUGAUCAUUGACCUGGAGACUCGAGGGAAGCAGGCUUUCCCUGCCUUCCUCUCCAUCCUGCGGGACACCGGGCAGGGCGACCUCGCUGAGAUGCUGAUCCAGGAGUGCGAAUCCCGGCCGGUGCCACUGCAGCUGCCGGACCUGCGGCCCGUGGAGCUGGAGCUGCGGGAGGAAAAACAGCGUAAAAAUGUGACCCCUCAUGAACGUUUGUCUAUCCCAGUGCAAGCCGAGAGUGAAAGACCUCGAAUGCCUCCUGUGCCAGCCCGAGGUUCUGCUGUUGACAAGAGGAGGCGUGACCAGGAUUAUGAGCUGAAAGCAGAUCCAUGUGGACACUGCCUGAUCCUCAAUAACGUCAAUUUCUCCAGAGACUCGGGUCUGUCCACCCGAGAGGGCUCUGACAUUGACUGUGAGAAGCUGGAGAGGCGCUUCAGGGCCUUGCGCUUCACCGUCCUGACCCGGCGGGAUCUGAAAGCUCAGGAAAUGGUGUUGGAGCUGCUGAAGCUGUCUCGGCAGGACCACAGUGCUUUGGCCUGCUGCAUUGUGGUGAUCCUUUCCCAUGGCUGUCAGACGAGCCAUAUUCAGUUUCCUGGAGGCGUUUAUGGAACGGAUGGAAAACCCAUUCCCAUAGAAAAGAUUGUGAACUAUUUCAAUGGGUCCAAUUGCCCGAGUUUGAGAGGAAAACCCAAACUGUUCUUCAUCCAGGCCUGUGGUGGAGAACAAAGGGAUCAAGGCUUUGUAGUGGAUUGUGAUUCCCCUGAAGAGGAAGCUCCUGGGAGUUCCUUGGAAUCGGAUGCGACCCCGUUUCUGGUUUCAUCAGAUAACAUGGAUGAGCCUGAUGCCAUUGCCAGUUUGCCCACACCUAGUGACAUCUUGGUUUCCUACUCAACUUUUCCAGGUUUUGUCUCCUGGAGGGAGAAGUCAAGUGGCUCGUGGUAUGUGGAAACGCUGGACAGUGUGCUGGAGCAGUAUGCCCAUUCGGAAGACCUGCUCAGCAUGUUAGUGAGGGUGGCACACGCUGUCUCUGCCAAGGGGAGGUACAAGCAGAUCCCGGGAUGUUUCAAUUUCCUCCGUAAAAAAUUCUUCUUCAUGUGCCGCUGACACAUGGGCUCCGAGCCCCCUGCCAAGCACUGGAGAUUCUUCCUGUGGCUGAAUGAAAUCUGUGCCCACCACGACUUGGUCACCUCCUGAAGGCUCCUCUGAAGUGGGAAGAGUAGGAACCUUCACUCAUGUCUGUGCUGCUCUGUCUGGUCAUUACCAAUGUGGCUGUGCCAGCCUAUGAUCCUGAUCCUUUUGAGGAGUCAGUUGGGAGUUACUACAGGAAACUGCUGAGGAUUCAUUGAAAUACCAGUGCUGAGGCCGGAGCCGAAGCUGACGAUGCCCUCGACCUCCCAGAUCCCAUCUUCGCGCUGGCAGUUCAGGGGGCCCCCAGAAUCACCCUGUGCAGACAGACAGUGUGGGCCAUGAGUCCUGGGCACCCAGUUGGCGCACCCCACAUAGGACCCACCACUGUCAUAGACAGGUGGAAGAAUUAUAAAAUUGCCAAAGCUGGCCUGUCAUUUCUUCUGAGUGCAACUAAGCUAUUUUGUGAAUGAGAAGUUCCUUUAACCCAACAAUCUAUGCUGAGGGUGAAAAACAAAUGCACCUCUGUAAACAAUAAGAUUUGUCCCAUGAGAACCCACAAAGGGAAAAUGGAAACAUAUCUAGAGAGAGAAAAUUUGGUAGACUUAUUCAAUAGUGCUUACCAGCCAGUGACCUGAAUUUCACUUUAUUGCUGACCAACUAGGUUUAACACAGUGCCUUCUGAUAUUUCCUAUAAAUAUGA